GAUGAAGAACGCAGCGAAAUGCGAUAAGUAAUGUGAAUUGCAGAAUUCAGUGAAUCAUCGAAUCUUUGAACGCACAUUGCGCCCGCCAGUAUUCUGGCGGGCAUGCCUGUUCGAGCGUCAUUUCAACCAUCAAGCCCCCGGCUUGUGUUGGGGACCUGCGGCUGCCGCAGGCCCUGAAAACCAGUGGCGGGCUCGCUAGUCACUCCGAGCGUAGUAAUACAUCUCGCUCUGGGCGUGCUGCGGGUUCCGGCCGUUAAACCACCUUUUAACCCAAGGUUGACCUCGGAUCAGGUAGGAAGACCCGCUGAACUUAAGCAUAUCAAUAAGCGGAGGA
This 334-nucleotide unclassified non-coding RNA is filed under the name soil metagenome. RNAcentral's name for it is "partial contains 5.8S ribosomal RNA, internal transcribed spacer 2, and large subunit ribosomal RNA". The stretch from base 1 to 120 matches the Rfam family "5.8S ribosomal RNA", at positions 35 to 154 of the family's 154-position model. The record is from RNAcentral.